AUUGAACGCUGGCGGCAUGCUUUACACAUGCGAGUCGAACGGCAGCGCGGGCCUCGGCCUGGCGGCGAGUGGCGAACGGGUGAGUAAUACAUCGGAACGUGCCCAGUAGUGGGGGAUAGCUCGGCGAAAGCCGGAUUAAUACCGCAUACGACCUGAGGGUGAAAGCGGGGGAUCUUCGGACCUCGCGCUAUUGGAGCGGCCGAUGGCAGAUUAGCUAGUUGGUGGGGUAAAGGCCUACCAAGGCGACGAUCUGUAGCUGGUCUGAGAGGACGACCAGCCACACUGGGACUGAGACACGGCCCAGACUCCUACGGGAGGCAGCAGUGGGGAAUUUUGGACAAUGGGCGAAAGCCUGAUCCAGCAAUGCCGCGUGUGUGAUGAAGGCCUUCGGGUUGUAAAGCACUUUUGGCGGGAACGAAAAGGACUGUGCCAAUACCACGGUUCGAUGACGGUACCCGCAGAAUAAGCACCGGCUAACUACGUG
Molecule: ribosomal RNA, 484 nt
Filed under: uncultured bacterium
Lineage: Bacteria
Description: partial 16S ribosomal RNA
Rfam family: Bacterial small subunit ribosomal RNA
Source: RNAcentral